Haplochromis burtoni (Burton's mouthbrooder) is the source of this 1824-nucleotide long non-coding RNA. RefSeq annotates it as deleted in malignant brain tumors 1 protein. The record is from RefSeq and is a predicted model, not a curated record. The transcript has 20 exons. NCBI's taxonomy places the organism in Eukaryota, Metazoa, Chordata, Actinopteri, Cichliformes, Cichlidae.
AUGGUACCUCUGACAAAUUGGAAGGUGAACGAAUACAAACAUGUGGACUCUCUUGUUCCUUUGUGGUGUGCUCAUCACACAUCAGGUGCAAGGUGUAGAUCGUGGCGACGCUGCUCGUUAUUGGUGGACUACAGCAGAUUAUUGGGAAACUUCAGAGAUUAUUGGGAAACUACACCAGGUUAUUCAGGAUGUGGUGGUUACCUGUAUGGCAGCAGUGGCAGUUUUUACAGCCCCAACUAUCCAAACCUGUACCCAGACAAUUCUGACUGUAUAUGGUACAUCAGACCAGGCAAUCAAAUUAUUCAGCUGGAGCUGUCAGAUGUAAACACUGAGUGUGGAUAUGAUUAUGUUUACGUCUAUGAUGGCUCCAGUACUGGAAGCCGGCUUCUGGGAAAGACAUGUAACAACACCAAAAACAACACUUUCUAUUCCACCGGUUAUUAUUUGACUGUGCGCUUCAGGAGUGAUGGCAGUGUAAGAGACACAGGAUUCCGUGCUUCUUACAGAGUUGUGUCUGGAGGUUCCUGCAUUCACAACUGUGGUUACCAGGUUGGAUAUUGCUCUUGCUCUUCGAGCUGUGUAUACAGAGGGGACUGUUGUUAUGACUACGAAGAUCACUGCACGUCCACAUCAGUAACAGGUAUACCAGAAACAGAUGCAACAACAGAUCUGUACUCAUGUCUUUACAACUGUGGCGCACACCUGGGAAGCUGUUCCUGUACUAGCUCUUGUGAAUACUACGGCAACUGUUGUCAUGACUACUACUCUUACUGCCCAAGCACAGGAGAUCCAGUCACAGAUCAGCCAUCAUGUCGUUACAACUGUGGCAUGCACCUGGGAAGCUGUUCAUGCAGAAGCUCUUGUCAAUACAAUGGUGACUGUUGCUAUGACUACUAUGAUUACUGCUCAUCAACCACUACGUGGCCUGACGUUACAGCUCAGCCUUCAUGUCGAUACAACUGUGGCUGGAGCAUGGGAAGCUGCUCCUGCACAAGCUCUUGUGAAUACUAUGGAAAUUGCUGUUAUGACUACUACUCAUACUGCCAAUGGACUACUGACACGCCCACUACCAUGCCUGUUACAGAACAGCCUUCAUGUCAAUACAACUGUGGCUGGAACAUCGGAAACUGCUCCUGCUCAAGCUCUUGUGAAUACUAUGGAAAUUGCUGCAAUGACUACUACUAUUACUGCCAGUCUCCUGACUUUACCACAGCUCAACCCUCAUGUCGAUACAACUGUGGCAGUUACAUGGGAAGCUGUUCCUGCUCAAGCUCAUGUGAAUACUAUGGAAACUGUUGUUACGACUACUACUGUGGCUGCGACUACAUUGAAAUCUAUGAUGGGCCAUAUGUUUAUUCACCAUUUUUGGGCAAAGUCUGCAACAACAGUCUGAGCACUUUCUUCUCCACUUCCAACUAUAUGACUGUGGUCUUCCGGACUGACGGUUCUAUGGUUGGUCGAGGUUUCAACGCCGAGUUCACGAGCUCUUUGACACCAAGCUCAGGUCGAGUGGACUGCUCCUCAGACAACAUGAACAUCGUGAUUGAGAAGUCUUACUUGAACAGUUUGGGUUAUGAUGGUCACAGCCUGUACCUGAACGACCCACACUGCAGACCCCAGAUUUCCUAUUACAAUGUGGUCUUCAGUUUUCCUCUCAACACUUGUGGUAACACAAGAGAGUUUGAGAAUGGCAAAAUUGUGUACACAAACAGUCUUCGUGCCUACAACUCCAACUACGGUGAGAUCACACGCCAGUCUAACUUUAAGCUAAACGUUCACUGCCGAAUUGGAGGAAGACUUAUCGGAUGUGUUCCACAAUAUUAG